CCUACGGGAGGCAGCAGUGGGGAAUAUUGCACAAUGGGGGAAACCCUUAUGCAGCGACGCCGCGUGAGUGAAGAAGGAUUUCGGUACGUAAAGCUCUAUCAGCAGGGAAGAAAAUGACGGUACCUGACUAAGAAGCCCCGGCUAACUACGUGCCAGCAGCCGCGGUAAUACGUAGGGGGCAAGCGUUAUCCGGAUUUACUGGGUGUAAAGGGAGCGUAGACGGGAGGGCAAGUCUGAAGUGAAAUCGCAGGGCUUAACCAUGGAACUGCUUUGGAAACUGUGGGUCUUGAGUGAUGGAGAGGCAGGCGGAAUUCCCAGUGUAGCGGUGAAAUGCGUAGAUAUUGGGAGGAACACCAGUGGCGAAGGCGGCCUGCUGGACAUUAACUGACGCUGAGGCGCGAAAGCGUGGGGAGCAAACAGGAUUAGAUACCCGGGUAGUC
RNAcentral lists this ribosomal RNA (440 nucleotides) under uncultured bacterium. RNAcentral's name for it is "partial 16S ribosomal RNA". It matches the Rfam family "Bacterial small subunit ribosomal RNA", at positions 338 to 795 of the family's 1533-position model. The record is from RNAcentral.